This is a small nucleolar RNA of Cricetulus griseus (Chinese hamster), 128 nucleotides long. Ensembl annotates it as small nucleolar RNA SNORA11. Lineage: Eukaryota; Metazoa; Chordata; Mammalia; Rodentia; Cricetidae. The record is from Ensembl.
GUGGUGUGCUCAGAGCAGGGAUCCUGAAGAAUGGACUCUCUGUUUACAACACACCCAACAGUAAUCUGGGGGCACUGCAAUAAGGAGCACAAUACUUGUGUCCUCCUGUGAGCAAGUGCCCUACAUGU